UUAACACUGGUUAGUUAACUUUAUUCCCAAAUGGAAUUCUGUAUUUCUUUCUUCUCUUUCUUCAUUUUCUUUGAUUUUUCCCAUCGUAAAGCUCCUUCCUUCCUUCCUUUCCUCCGCCGUAGCUAAACUUCGAACCCCAUCCGACGCCACCUUCAGCAUCACCACCACUCCUCAUCUUCCAUACGACGCCACCAGUGAGCUGAGCUCUGACGACAUGGAAGAUCGCCGCCGCCUGCCAACGGAGUGGCGACCAACAGAAGAAGAAGAAGGAGUAGUCCGUCUCCCGUAAACAGAGUCCCUUGCGAACCGACGGCUGACGGAGACUGGCCAGCGGAGGCGACCGAAACCAUGGAAAUUUGGUGACGUGGCUUCGGGCGAACGAUUCUCUCCCUGAGGUUCGUUCUGGGCUCCGUGCGGUUUGCUAUAGAUCAGGAUGUGUUGUUGAAUUUUGUUGGAGAGACGUUGAAUCAGUGUUUCUUCGUAAGUUGGUUGUCUGACGUUACGCGCUGCAAAAUCAGCGACAAUCUCUGGAAGGUAUAGCUUUUCUUUCUUUGUUUUCAUAGGUGGCGAUUCAUUGAAAGAAGUAGGUGAAGUCUAGGUUCAAAGGAAAAAACAAGCGAGGGAGAGUGAAAUAAUGGGAAGUAGGGUGUAUAUGGGUUGGCUCAGUCCCCUUUUCAGGCAAAAAACUGAGCCAAUCCGGGCGCUGCAGGUUGGGACUUGGGUGGGAAGGAGGGAGGGAGAUGUGGAUGGAUUUGGGUGCUUUUGAGGUGUCUAGGAAAUGUGGAUGUGGAUGUGUAGUAUGUAAUUAUCAUACAGAUAUGCUGCGGAUGAUAGGUUUGCCAGGAGAAUUGAAUUCUGUGAAACUUCAAUCACUGGGAUUGGGGCUCUGUCUCUAUGUUUUAUGAGUCGCCUGAAGAGGCAAAACCAUAGUGGAAUGGAGAUGAUGCACUGAGAUGGCAAGCCACCAGGAAAGGUUGCUUGACAGUCGAGUCCUUUAACCACAUCUUAACUUUGGCAACUAGGGAGAAUUGAAAACCAAAUUUACUUGGAGCAUGAGUGUAAUAUGAACAUCGGUUGUGCCGAUGGAUACAUUAGUUAAGUGGUUAUUUUCUUUCGCCCUGUGGUCUGUGGAAAUUAAAAAGAAAAGAAUCACAAGAAACACAGAGUUUGCAAAAGUUAUUCAGUAGAAUAGAGACAAAGGCACAAGAAGCUAAUUGUCAAUUCUGAUUUCUGAGGCGUUCGCAACAGUUUAGGAUUUUCUUUUUAUACUUAUGUGCCAUAGCUUUUAUGAAGGAAAAUGACCGAGAAGCUGAAACUCCUGGAUGCUUCUUGAAUGUUUGAGUGAACCUGAUUGAUGAAAGAUAAACUUCUGAGGUACCAAUAAUAUAAUUGGAAUGAGCAACAUAUAGUUUCUCAAAUUAGUUGCUGUUUUUGUUUAGUGUUGUUAGAGCCAUAUUAGUUUGAGUUUUAGGUGGGAUUUGCAUCUAAUUACAGGAUGAUUAUGUAUUAAUGAUCAUUACUUGGAAGUUUAUGACUAGUAUAUUAUACAGGACCUGCGAGAUCUUGAUCUUUUAGCUACUCAUUCCAUUAGUAGCUGUAUUUUGAUACAGAAAUAUUUCUACUGCUGGCAAGUUGAUGCUGAUUUCCCCUUGAAUUGCCUGUUUGCACAUAGAGAAAUUCUGACUCUUUUACUUAUAAUUUUUUCUCCUAACAAGUAACAAGGCUUAUUUGCUUUUUUCAUAUAAGGCAAAGCUUGAUUUGGACAGCCUUGAAGUUCGAGUUGGGUAAAACUGAUUUUCAGUAACCAGGUGCAUUUCAGAUAUGUUACUUUAUUUUCUAAUUAAGAUAAUUAGUAUUUUCAUUCCUAAUUAGUAAAUGAUUUCACAUUGUACUUUAUUUAUAUUAUACCUUGAUUGAACAGCUGUGUGAUUGUUGAGGAAGGGCACAUUAUUGCAGCAGGAAGAAACAGGACUAAUGAGAAGCAGAAUGUAUGUCUAUGAUUGCUUCUCCACCCCUUUAUAUAAGUUUUGGCCAGCAGCACUUUGCUGUUCUUCUAAAUUGAUACCCUCACAUUAUCCACUCGCAGUUAUUGUUGAUCUUUUUUGUGUUUCUGCCUUAAAUAUUUCUUUAAUAUAUGAUAAAAUAGUAUAUCUGAACAAAUCUGUUAAAAAGUGGAAUUUUCUAUGCAUUAUUAGGCUGUAAAUGGUUUUGUUCUCAUUAUUCUUUCAUAAAGUAUAACUACGGCUAACAAUAGCAAGAAUCUUGCUUUACUAUGUACAUUGUUUCACGUUUCUCGUUUGCCAUUGAGCUCUGCCUGAAUUUUGGACCGAGAACAGUCAAAGAAAAA
Long non-coding RNA from Syzygium oleosum, 2347 nucleotides. RefSeq lists it as uncharacterized. Lineage: Eukaryota; Viridiplantae; Streptophyta; Magnoliopsida; Myrtales; Myrtaceae. The record is from RefSeq and is a predicted model, not a curated record. The transcript is spliced from 2 exons.